GGCGUUGGCCUAAUACAUGCAAGUCGAGCGGAACCUUUGGAGACUUGCUCCAUUGGUUUAGCGGCGGACGGGUGAGUAACACGUUGGGCAACCUGCCCUGCAGAUCGGGAUGAACUCCGGGAAACCGGUGCUAAUACCGAAUAGUUUUUUGCCCCUCCUGGGGCGAAACGGAAAGACGGUUUCGGCUGUCACUGCAGGAUGGGCCCGCGGCGCAUUAGCUAGUUGGUGGGGUAAUGGCCCACCAAGGCGAACGAUGCGUAGCCGACCUUGAGAGGGUGAUCGGCCACACUGGGACUGAGACACGGCCCAGACUCCUACGGGAGGCAGCAGUAGGGAAUCUUCCGCAAUGGACGCAAGUCUGACGGAGCAACGCCGCGUGAGUGACGAAGGUUUUCGGAUCGUAAAACUCUGUUGUGAGGGAAGAACAAGUACCAACUAACUACUGGUACCUUGACGGUACCUCACCAGAAAGCCACGGCUAACUACGUGCCAGCAGCCGCGGUAAUACGUAGGUGGCAAGCGUUGUCCGGAAUGAUUGGGCGUAAAGCGCGCGCAGGCAGUCCCUUAAGUCUGAUGUGAAAGCCCACGGCUCAACCGUGGAAGGUCAUUGGAAACUGGGGGACUUGAGUGCAGAAGAAGAAAGUGNCUUCCACGUGUAGCAGUGAAAUGCGUAGAGAUGUGGACGAACACCAGUAGCGAAGGCUACUGUCUGGUCUGUAACUGACGCUGAGGCACGAUUGCGUGAGCAGCCACAGGAUAGAUACCCUGGUAGUCACGCGCUCACGAUAGUCUAGUGUAGGGG
This 802-nucleotide ribosomal RNA is filed under the name Planomicrobium sp. D58-E08. Its description in RNAcentral is "bacterial SSU rRNA". It matches the Rfam family "Bacterial small subunit ribosomal RNA", at positions 41 to 828 of the family's 1533-position model. Lineage: Bacteria; Bacillati; Bacillota; Bacilli; Caryophanales; Caryophanaceae. The record is from RNAcentral.